AUACGUAGGGGGCGAGCGUUGUCCGGAAUGAUUGGGCGUAAAGGGCGCGUAGGCGGCCCGGUAAGUCUGGAGUGAAAGUCCUGUUUUUAAGAUGGGAAUUGCUUUGGAUACUGUCGGGCUUGAGUGCAGGAGAGGGAAGGGGAAUUCCCAGUGUAGCGGUGAAAUGCGUAGAGAUUGGGAGGAACACCAGUGGCGAAGGCGACUUACUGGACUGUAACUGACGCUGAGGCGCGAAAGUGUGGGGAGCAAACAGGAUUAGAUACCCUGGUAGUCCACACUGUAAACGAUGAAUGCUAGGUGUAGGGGGUAUCGACCCCUUCUGUGCCGCAGUCAACACAAUAAGCAUUCCGCCUGGGGAGUACGGCCGCAAGGUUGAAACUCAAAUGAAUUGACGGGG
RNAcentral lists this ribosomal RNA (397 nucleotides) under uncultured bacterium. Its description in RNAcentral is "partial 16S ribosomal RNA". It matches the Rfam family "Bacterial small subunit ribosomal RNA", at positions 523 to 918 of the family's 1533-position model. The record is from RNAcentral.